This 253-nucleotide ribosomal RNA is filed under the name uncultured bacterium. Its description in RNAcentral is "partial 16S ribosomal RNA". It matches the Rfam family "Bacterial small subunit ribosomal RNA", at positions 524 to 776 of the family's 1533-position model. The record is from RNAcentral.
UACGUAGGUGGCAAGCGUUGUCCGGAUUUACUGGGCGUAAAGAGCGCGCGGGCGGUCGUUCAAGUCGCGUGUGAAAGCCCCCGGCUCAACUGGGGAGGGUCACGCGAUACUGAUCGACUCGAAGGCAGGAGAGGGAAGUGGAAUUCCCGGUGUAGUGGUGAAAUGCGCAGAUAUCAGGAGGAACACCUAUUGCGAAGGCAGCUCGCUGGGACGUUACUGACGCUGAGACGCGAAAGCGUGGGGAGCGAACAGG